CACGGAUCAAAUGGUGCUAUGAGCAGAAACCACGCGAGGGCUGCAACCACCAUGCUUUCUUGAUUGCAAACCAGCGCCAUAAAGAUAAACCGUGGUGUGUCAACCCAAAUUCUAAGUGGCUCAAGGACAAAAUACAGAAGGGAGAAUUAAACUGCCCUCAAGAUCUCUCAUUAUUAAAUGAAGUUCCCAACAAGCCAACAACAGCAUGAAGUAAAACAGCAACGUUUUAUCCUGAAAUACUAU
Molecule: long non-coding RNA, 243 nt
Organism: Pundamilia nyererei
Lineage: Eukaryota; Metazoa; Chordata; Actinopteri; Cichliformes; Cichlidae
Exons: 3
Source: RefSeq, a predicted model, not a curated record